AGUGAACGCUGGCGGUAGGCCUAACACAUGCAAGUCGAACGGCAGCACAGUAAGAGCUUGCUCUUACGGGUGGCGAGUGGCGGACGGGUGAGGAAUACAUCGGACUCUACUUUUUCGUGGGGGAUAACGUAGGUAAACUUACGCUAAUACCGCAUACGACCUACGGGUGAAAGCAGGGGAUCUUCGGACCUUGCGCGAUUGAAUGAGCCGAUGUCGGAUUAGCUAGUUGGCGGGGUAAAGGCCCACCAAGGCGACGAUCCGUAGCUGGUCUGAGAGGAUGAUCAGCCACACUGGAACUGAGACACGGUCCAGACUCCUACGGGAGGCAGCAGUGGGGAAUAUUGGACAAUGGGCGCAAGCCUGAUCCAGCCAUACCGCGUGGGUGAAGAAGGCCUUCGGGUUGUAAAGACCUUUUGUGGGGAAAGAAAAGCAGCAGGUUAAUACCCCGCUGUUCUGACGGUACCCAAAGAAUAAGCACCGGCUAACUUCGUG
RNAcentral lists this ribosomal RNA (492 nucleotides) under uncultured bacterium. Its description in RNAcentral is "partial 16S ribosomal RNA". It matches the Rfam family "Bacterial small subunit ribosomal RNA", at positions 29 to 507 of the family's 1533-position model. The record is from RNAcentral.